RNAcentral lists this ribosomal RNA (1432 nucleotides) under Staphylococcus sp. DWK5. Its description in RNAcentral is "bacterial SSU rRNA". It matches the Rfam family "Bacterial small subunit ribosomal RNA". Lineage: Bacteria; Bacillati; Bacillota; Bacilli; Caryophanales; Staphylococcaceae. The record is from RNAcentral.
GGCGGCGUGCCUAAUACAUGCAAGUCGAGCGAACAGAUAAGGAGCUUGCUCCUUUGACGUUAGCGGCGGACGGGUGAGUAACACGUGGGUAACCUACCUAUAAGACUGGGAUAACUUCGGGAAACCGGAGCUAAUACCGGAUAACAUUUGGAACCGCAUGGUUCUAAAGUGAAAGAUGGUUUUGCUAUCACUUAUAGAUGGACCCGCGCCGUAUUAGCUAGUUGGUAAGGUAACGGCUUACCAAGGCGACGAUACGUAGCCGACCUGAGAGGGUGAUCGGCCACACUGGAACUGAGACACGGUCCAGACUCCUACGGGAGGCAGCAGUAGGGAAUCUUCCGCAAUGGGCGAAAGCCUGACGGAGCAACGCCGCGUGAGUGAUGAAGGGUUUCGGCUCGUAAAACUCUGUUAUUAGGGAAGAACAAACGUGUAAGUAACUGUGCACGUCUUGACGGUACCUAAUCAGAAAGCCACGGCUAACUACGUGCCAGCAGCCGCGGUAAUACGUAGGUGGCAAGCGUUAUCCGGAAUUAUUGGGCGUAAAGCGCGCGUAGGCGGUUUCUUAAGUCUGAUGUGAAAGCCCACGGCUCAACCGUGGAGGGUCAUUGGAAACUGGGAAACUUGAGUGCAGAAGAGGAAAGUGGAAUUCCAUGUGUAGCGGUGAAAUGCGCAGAGAUAUGGAGGAACACCAGUGGCGAAGGCGACUUUCUGGUCUGUAACUGACGCUGAUGUGCGAAAGCGUGGGGAUCAAACAGGAUUAGAUACCCUGGUAGUCCACGCCGUAAACGAUGAGUGCUAAGUGUUAGGGGGUUUCCGCCCCUUAGUGCUGCAGCUAACGCAUUAAGCACUCCGCCUGGGGAGUACGACCGCAAGGUUGAAACUCAAAGGAAUUGACGGGGACCCGCACCCGCGGUGGAGCAUGUGGUUUAAUUCGAAGCAACGCGAAGAACCUUACCAAAUCUUGACAUCCUUUGAAAACUCUAGAGAUAGAGCCUUCCCCUUCGGGGGACAAAGUGACAGGUGGUGCAUGGUUGUCGUCAGCUCGUGUCGUGAGAUGUUGGGUUAAGUCCCGCAACGAGCGCAACCCUUAAGCUUAGUUGCCAUCAUUAAGUUGGGCACUCUAGGUUGACUGCCGGUGACAAACCGGAGGAAGGUGGGGAUGACGUCAAAUCAUCAUGCCCCUUAUGAUUUGGGCUACACACGUGCUACAAUGGACAAUACAAAGGGCAGCUAAACCGCGAGGUCAUGCAAAUCCCAUAAAGUUGUUCUCAGUUCGGAUUGUAUUCUGCAACUCGACUACAUGAAGCUGGAAUCGCUAGUAAUCGUAGAUCAGCAUGCUACGGUGAAUACGUUCCCGGGUCUUGUACACACCGCCCGUCACACCACGAGAGUUUGUAACACCCGAAGCCGGUGGAGUAACCAUUUAUGGAGC